GACGAACGCUGGCGGCGUGCUUAACACAUGCAAGUCGAACGGUGAAGCUCCAGCUUGCUGGAGUGGAUCAGUGGCGAACGGGUGAGUAACACGUGAGCAACCUGCCCCUGACUCUGGAAUAAGCGCUGGAAACGGCGUCUAAUACUGGAUACGAGAAGGGUCCGCAUGGGCACUUUCUGGAAAGUUUUUCGGUUGGGGAUGGGCUCGCGGCCUAUCAGCUUGUUGGUGAGGUAAUGGCUCACCAAGGCGACGACGGGUAGCCGGCCUGUGAGGGCGACCGGCCACACUGGGACUGAGACACGGCCCAGACUCCUACGGGAGGCAGCAGUGGGGAAUAUUGCACAAUGGGCGAAAGCCUGAUGCAGCGACGCCGCGUGAGGGAUGACGGCCUUCGGGUUGUAAACCUCUUUCAGCAGGGAAGAAGCGAAAGUGACGGUACCUGCAGAAGAAGCACCGGCUAACUACGUG
This 468-nucleotide ribosomal RNA is filed under the name uncultured bacterium. RNAcentral's name for it is "partial 16S ribosomal RNA". It matches the Rfam family "Bacterial small subunit ribosomal RNA", at positions 28 to 507 of the family's 1533-position model. The record is from RNAcentral.